AUUUUUAAAAACUACGUACGAUCUAGCAGAUUGACGAUUUUAUUAUCUCCCUUUGCUAACUCUUUAGUGUUAAAGAUACGAUUAUUUGGGGAAACAUGACAACAUGUCAUACGAGUUGGCGGUUUGAAGACAGACGAUGCCGUUUUGUAAAAUUUCUUUAUGGACAAAUACUCCAUGUGAAGAAGUUUCAAAGACAAUUUAUGUGAAUGACUAUAAGAAAUCGGUAGCUAGAUAUUUAUGCUCCUUAAACAAAUCACAUUGCGGGAAAUCCAUGACGCAAGGCCCGCCUGCACCUGUGUCUAUUUUCACAAUCACACGUUGGAGCGGUUGUUUCAUAUCAUCAGAGUUCUUUGGAGUGGAUGAGGAAUACUACAUGUGUUUUCCCAGAUCACUCGGUCAGUUGUAUUGGAUAUACGAACCGGAUAUGGGCACAUAUCAUUAACAUUUGGGAUGAGCAACAUGCUUGUGGAAAAAUGCUAUGGCCAGUAUGGGUGGCGGUGCAGUAUACAAGGAAUCUAUUCACUGAAAUUCCAAGAAGAUUCCAUGACUUGCUUGCCAUACAACAAACAACAGAAUAUGGACGUGAUUCCUAGAAUUAGAACUUGAAUGGUUCAGACUUGAAUACAUGCAAAGUCAUGUAGCAAUAUUAAAGGUGUUGUACUUCAGGAAAAGGGGAAGCGUAUUUGUUGGAAGAUGGAUAAAGAAAAAUUGGAGCAUGCACUAGACUUCUUUAAAUCCUGCUUUUUUAUCAGGUAACAUCAUUGAGUACAAAAGAAAUGUACCUUCACAGCAGACAACUUAUAACCUUUCGACAAGAAAUUGGGACUGCCUGCCAUUCAACCAUUGUACAUAUAUGAAUUUACCAGUCCUGUUGUGAAGAAACUUAUUUCAUCCUCUUUCAAGGGCCGUGUUAUUUAGGAUUUUAACUACUUGUCCUGCAUCACAAGCUUAAAAAGACUUCACAAUCUGACUGCAGAUGGAACUGCAUGGUUUGAAAUCCUCAUAGGAAUUAUGAGAAGCAUAGAGGCCUAUUAACCAGAUAAUGAGAUUGUUAUGAGAUUGAUCACUGUUCGUUAUCUUCACCUUGGAUAAUGACAAGAUUUCAUAGCUUGAGGAGUACCAGGAAAAUUUACUUGCAGCAAAAUUGUACAUAAAGAGAGACUCACUCAAGCAUGAAUGUAGAAUAAUUAUAAAGAUGCAGUAGAGAGAGAGAGAGAGAGAGAGAGAGAGAGAGAGAGAGAGAGAGAGAGAGAGAGAGAGAGAGAAUGAGAAUUAUAUGGUGAUAUAAUUAAACUCAUUGUCUUCAAUGGGUAUGGCAUGUCAGUAGAGAAUCAUGAUUCAUAUGGUGAUAUUUUUCAAUUAUAUACUCGUUUCAGUGCAAUGGCAUUGUACAAAUAAAUAUUUUAAGUGUUGUUAGGGAAAGUGGUUGCUAUGGUGAUAUGUGUAAACAUAUUGUCUUCCAUGGGUCCGACAUGUCAGUAAAUAAUUACAUGUUGAUAUAUUUGUAUUAUAUUCUUAUUUGAAGGCAAUUGGAAUUGUACAGUUUGAAAUGUUUGCUUGUUGCUAGGGAAAAUUGGUUGCUAUGGUGAUAUAGUUAAACCUGAUGUCUUCAUUGGAUUCAACAUAUCAGUAGAAAAUCAUAUAUUGGUAUAUUUGCAUUAGGUUCUCAUUCCAGUGCAAUUUAAUCAUACAACUUUAAAUUUUAUGUGCGUUGAUAAGGAAAAUCAGUUGCUAUGGUGAUAUGGUUGAAGUCUGAUUUCUCCAAUUGGUCUGAAAUGUCAAUAAAUUAAAGUGAACCCAGAUGAUUUGUAUUUAGUUUCAGUUAAUAGAAUCAUUUUAAUGCAUAUAUUGCAGACAUUCUUGUUUUAUUGUGUUGGAAAUGGGCCUGAAAGAGUUGCCUAGCAACCGUUACUAUGUGCAUUUCCGACUCUUUUGAUUUUGAUUUUGAGUACACUUAGUAUUGAUUGUUUAGAAAAUAUGUAUCAAAAUUUGGCACUUUUCGGAUAACUAAAGUAAUAUGUAUUUAAAAUACCUUAAAAUUGUCGAAUUUACAGAAAAUUGAUAAAUAUUAAAACAAUGCCUAUUCCAAAGUCCUCUACAGAUACCAUAUAAUAGUAUUUCAUUAGUAUUGUACAUUUUUAUAUUGAAGUAACCUUUACCUCGCCUAAAUAAAUUAUCAUUAUGUUUGAAAAA
This is a long non-coding RNA of Ostrea edulis (European flat oyster), 2193 nucleotides long. RefSeq lists it as uncharacterized. The record is from RefSeq and is a predicted model, not a curated record. The transcript is spliced from 4 exons. Lineage: Eukaryota; Metazoa; Mollusca; Bivalvia; Ostreida; Ostreidae.